CCUACGGGAGGCAGCAGUGGGGAAUAUUGGGCAAUGGGCGCAAGCCUGACCCAGCAACGCCGCGUGAAGGAAGAAGGCUUUCGGGUUGUAAACUUCUUUUGUCAGGGACGAAGCAAGUGACGGUACCUGACGAAUAAGCCACGGCUAACUACGUGCCAGCAGCCGCGGUAAUACGUAGGUGGCAAGCGUUAUCCGGAUUUACUGGGUGUAAAGGGCGUGUAGGCGGGACUGCAAGUCAGAUGUGAAAACCACGGGCUCAACCUGUGGCCUGCAUUUGAAACUGUAGUUCUUGAGUACUGGAGAGGCAGACGGAAUUCCUAGUGUAGCGGUGAAAUGCGUAGAUAUUACACAGAACACCGAUUGCGAAGGCAGCUUGCUAGGCCGGAUCUGACACUGAUGCACGAAAGCGUGGGGAUCGAACAGGAUUAGAUACCCGUGUAGUC
This 443-nucleotide ribosomal RNA is filed under the name uncultured bacterium. Its description in RNAcentral is "partial 16S ribosomal RNA". It matches the Rfam family "Bacterial small subunit ribosomal RNA", at positions 338 to 795 of the family's 1533-position model. The record is from RNAcentral.